RNAcentral lists this transfer RNA (54 nucleotides) under Meloidogyne javanica (root-knot nematode). Its description in RNAcentral is "tRNA-Asp". RNAcentral also lists the same sequence under 2 other names. Lineage: Eukaryota; Metazoa; Nematoda; Chromadorea; Rhabditida; Meloidogynidae. The record is from RNAcentral.
GAUAAUUUAUUAUAUAAAGUAUUUUUUUUUGUCAUGAAAAAGGUUAAAUUAUUU